This 253-nucleotide ribosomal RNA is filed under the name uncultured bacterium. RNAcentral's name for it is "partial 16S ribosomal RNA". It matches the Rfam family "Bacterial small subunit ribosomal RNA", at positions 524 to 776 of the family's 1533-position model. The record is from RNAcentral.
UACGUAGGGUGCAAGCGUUGUCCGGAAUUAUUGGGCGUAAAGGGCGCGUAGGCGGCCUGGCAAGUGGAAGGUGAAAUCCCUCGGCUUAACCGAGGAACUGCCUCCCAAACUGCUUGGCUUGAGACCGGGAGAGGUGAGUGGAAUUCCCAGUGUAGCGGUGAAAUGCGUAGAUAUUGGGAGGAACACCAGUGGCGAAGGCGGCUCACUGGACCGGUACUGACGCUGAUGCGCGAAAGCGUGGGGAGCAAACGGG